RNAcentral lists this ribosomal RNA (573 nucleotides) under uncultured bacterium. RNAcentral's name for it is "bacterial SSU rRNA". It matches the Rfam family "Bacterial small subunit ribosomal RNA", at positions 920 to 1503 of the family's 1533-position model. The record is from RNAcentral.
CCCGCACAAGCGGAGGAACAUGUGGUUUAAUUCGAUGAUACGCGAGGAACCUUACCCGGGCUUGAAAGUUAGUGACGGCGGAUGAAAGUCUGCUUCCCUUCGGGGCACGAAACUAGGUGCUGCAUGGUUGUCGUCAGCUCGUGCCGUGAGGUGUCGGCUUAAGUGCCAUAACGAGCGCAACCCUUGCCGUUAGUUGCCAUCGGGUAAUGCCGGGAACUCUAGCGGGACUGCUACUGUAAGGUAGAGGAAGGUGGGGAUGACGUCAAAUCAGCACGGCCCUUACGUCCGGGGCGACACACGUGUUACAAUGGUAGGUACAGAGGGUUGCUACCCCGCGAGGGGAUGCUAAUCUCCUAAAACCUAUCUCAGUUCGGAUCGGAGUCUGCAACUCGACUUCGUGAAGCUGGAUUCGCUAGUAAUCGCGCAUCUGCCAUGGCGCGGUGAAUACGUUCCCGGGCCUUGUACACACCGCCCGUCAAGCCAUGGAAGCUGGGGGUACCUAAAGUCUGCAACCGCAAGGAGCGGCCUAGGGUAAAACUGGUAACUGGGGCUAAGUCGUAACAAGGUAACCGU